AUUGAACGCUGGCGGAAUGCUUUACACAUGCAAGUCGAACGGCAGCACGGACUUCGGUCUGGUGGCGAGUGGCGAACGGGUGAGUAAUGUAUCGGAACGUGCCCAGUCGUGGGGGAUAACGUAGUGAAAAUUACGCUAAUACCGCAUACGAUCUAUGGAUGAAAGCGGGGGAUCGCAAGACCUCGCGCGAUUGGAGCGGCCGAUAUCAGAUUAGGUAGUUGGUGGGGUAAAGGCCCACCAAGCCAACGAUCUGUAGCUAGUCUGAGAGGACGAGCAGCCACACUGGAACUGAGACACGGUCCAGAGUCCUACGGGAGGCAGCAGUGGGGAAUUUUGGACAAUGGGCGAAAGCCUGAUCCAGCCAUUCCGCGUGCAGGAUGAAGGCCCUCGGGUUGUAAACUGCUUUUGUACAGAACGAAAAGGUUUCUACUAAUACUAGGAGCUCAUGACGGUACUGUAAGAAUAAGCACCGGCUAACUACGUGCCAGCAGCCGCAGUAA
Molecule: ribosomal RNA, 500 nt
Filed under: uncultured bacterium
Lineage: Bacteria
Description: partial 16S ribosomal RNA
Rfam family: Bacterial small subunit ribosomal RNA
Source: RNAcentral